CCGUCGCACGCCUGCUCGCACGCGACCGUGUCGCUCGCCCGGGCGUCACGGGGGCGGUCGCCUCGGCCCCCGCGCGGUCGCCCGAACGACCGUGUGGUGGUUGGGGGGGGGAUCGUCUUCUCCUCCGUCUCCCGAGGACGGUUCGUUUCUCUUUCCCCUUCCGUCGCUCUCCUUGGGUGUGGGAGCCUCGUGCCGUCGCGACCGCGGCCCGCCGUCGCCUGCCGCCGCAGCCCCUUGCCCUCCGGCCUUGGCCAAGCCGGAGGGCGGAGGAGGGGGCUCGGCGGCGGCGGCGGUGACCGCGGCGCGGUGACGCACGGUGGGGGUCCCCAUCCUCGGCGCGUCCAUCGGGGACGGCCGGUUGGAGGGGCGGAAGGGCUUUUUCCCGUAAACGCCGCGUUCGGCGCCAGGCCUCUGGCGGCCGGGGGGGCGCUCUCUCCGCCCGAGCAUCCCGACUCCCGCCCCUCCUCUUCGCGCGCCGCGGCGGCGACGUGCGUACGAGGGGAGGGUGUCGCGGUGUGGAGGCGGAGAGGGUCCGGCGCGGCGCCUCUUCCA
RNAcentral lists this unclassified non-coding RNA (552 nucleotides) under Mus musculus (house mouse). RNAcentral describes it as "3' external transcribed spacer". The record is from RNAcentral. Lineage: Eukaryota; Metazoa; Chordata; Mammalia; Rodentia; Muridae.